This 433-nucleotide ribosomal RNA is filed under the name uncultured bacterium. Its description in RNAcentral is "partial 16S ribosomal RNA". It matches the Rfam family "Bacterial small subunit ribosomal RNA", at positions 29 to 507 of the family's 1533-position model. The record is from RNAcentral.
AACGAACGCUGGCGGCAUGCCUAACACAUGCCAGUCGAACGAGACCUUCGGGUCUAGUGGCGCACGGGUGCGUAACGCGUGGGAACCUGCCCUUAGGUUCGGAAUAACUCCCCGAAAGGGGUGCUAAUACCGGAUAAUGUCUUCGGACCAAAGAUUUAUCGCCUUUGGAUGGGCCCGCGUUGGAUUAGCUAGUUGGUAGGGUAAAAGCCUACCAAGGCGACGAUCCAUAGCUGGUCUGAGAGGAUGAUCAGCCACACUGGGACUGAGACACGGCCCAGACUCCUACGGGAGGCAGCAGUGGGGAAGAUUGGACAAUGGGCGAGAGCCUGAUCCAGCAAUGCCGCGUGAGUGAUGAAGGCCUUAGGGUUGUAAAGCUCUUUUACCCGGGAUGAUAAUGACAGUACCGGGAGAAUAAGCUCCGGCUAACUCCGUG